GACGAACGCUGGCGGCGUGCCUAACACAUGCAAGUCGAACGGAGAUAUGGAGAUUCGUUGAAAUAUCUUAGUGGCGGACGGGUGAGUAACGCGUGAACAACCUGACCUAAAGAGGGGGAUAACAACGAGAAAUCGUUGCUAAUACCGCAUAAGACCACGACCUGGCAUCAGGAUGAGGUCAAAGGAGCAAUCCGCUUUAGGAGGGGUUCGCGUCCCAUUAGCUAGUUGGUGGGGUAACGGCCCACCAGGGCGACGAUGGCUAGGGGGUCUGAGAGGACGAUCCCCCACACUGGUACUGAGACACGGACCAGACUCCUACGGGAGGCAGCAGUGAGGAAUAUUGGUCAAUGGGCGGAAGCCUGAACCAGCCAUGCCGCGUGCAGGAUGACGGCCCUACGGGUUGUAAACUGCUUUUCCCCGGGGCGAACUAACCCCCUCGCGAGGGGGACGUCGGCCGGGUACGGGAAGUAAGGAGUACGGACGUACGUCCGUCGCCGACGCGACGCCGGUACGGUAACGACGACGUACCGUACGUACUGACGUACGUACG
RNAcentral lists this ribosomal RNA (550 nucleotides) under uncultured bacterium. Its description in RNAcentral is "bacterial SSU rRNA". It matches the Rfam family "Bacterial small subunit ribosomal RNA", at positions 28 to 531 of the family's 1533-position model. The record is from RNAcentral.